Molecule: ribosomal RNA, 253 nt
Filed under: uncultured bacterium
Lineage: Bacteria
Description: partial 16S ribosomal RNA
Rfam family: Bacterial small subunit ribosomal RNA
Source: RNAcentral
UACGGGGGGGGCAAGCGUUGUUCGGAAUUACUGGGCGUAAAGGGCUCGUAGGUUGCCAACUAAGUCAGACGUGAAAUCCCUCGGCUUAACCGGGGAACUGCGUCUGAUACUGGAUGGCUUGAGUUCGGGAGAGGGAUGCGGAAUUCCAGGUGUAGCGGUGAAAUGCGUAGAUAUCUGGAGGAACACCGGUGGCGAAGGCGGCAUCCUGGACCGACAUUGACGCUGAGGAGCGAAAGCCAGGGGAGCAAACGGG